This 68-nucleotide transfer RNA is filed under the name Bathymodiolus sp. 5 South. RNAcentral's name for it is "tRNA-Ile". Lineage: Eukaryota; Metazoa; Mollusca; Bivalvia; Mytilida; Modiolidae. The record is from RNAcentral.
GGUGCUGUGUGGGGGGUAAUCCAGUUUCCUUGAUGUGGAAAAGAUUGAAUUUGUGUAUUCCAGCACUU